GCCAAACAGCUAGCUUAAUUAUUCAAUAACCUCACAACAUACAUAACACAACAUAAACUUCAACAACAAAAACUAAACCAUUCUUUUACCUUAGUACGGGAGACGGAAAAGGUCCAUCACAAAGCAAUAGAAAAAGUACCGCAAGGGAAAGCUGAAAGAGAAAUGAAAUAACCCAUAUAAGCACAAAAAAGCAGAGACUUAAACUCGUACCUUUUGCAUCAUGAUUUAGCCAGUCACACACAAGCAAAGAGACCUUUAGUUUGAAACCCCGAAACCAGGUGAGCUACCCCGAGACAGCCUAUUUAGGGCCAACCCGUCUCUGUGGCAAAAGAGUGGGAAGAGCUCCGGGUAGAGGUGACAAACCUACCGAACCUGGUGAUAGCUGGUUGCCUAAAAAAUGGAUAGAAGUUCAGCCUCGUACUCCCCAAAUCAAGUAAGUGAACACAAACACAAGCCUAAGAGAAACAUACGAGAGUUAGUUAAAGGGGGUACAGCCCCUCUAACCAAGGACACAACCUUAACAGGAGGAUAAGGAUCAUACUUUUAAAAACCAACCGUUUUAGUGGGCCUAAAAGCAGCCACCUGGACAGAAAGCGUUAAAGCUCAAACGGAGCAAAGUUUAUUAUACUGAUAACCCAUCCUACUCCCCUAAAUAUAUUAGGCCCCUCCAUGCCCACAUGGAAGAGACUAUGCUAAAAUGAGUAACAAGAAGACACGCUCUUCUCCAAGCACAAGUGUAAGCUAGAUCGGACCCACCACUAGCAAUUAACGAACCCAACCCAAGAGGGCAAUGCGAAUACUACAAAAACCAAGAAAAACUCACAACCCUAAUCGUUAACCCUACACUGGAGUGCAAAUCUUUAAAGGAAAGACUAAAAGAAAGGGAAGGAACUCGGCAAACACAAGCCUCGCCUGUUUACCAAAAACAUCGCCUCCUGCCAAGCUCUAAGUAUAGGAGGUCCAGCCUGCCCAGUGACUACACAGUUCAACGGCCGCGGUAUUUUGACCGUGCAAAGGUAGCGCAAUCACUUGUCUUUUAAAUGAAGACCUGUAUGAAUGGCUAAACGAGGGCUUAACUGUCUCCCCCUUCAGGUCAAUGAAAUUGAUCUAUCCGUGCAGAAGCGGGUAUAAAAAUACAAGACGAGAAGACCCUUUGGAGCUUAAGGUACAAACCCACCCACGUCAAACAACUUAACAAAGAGUACAAACUUAGUGAAAACUGGAACUUUACCUUCGGUUGGGGCGACCACGGAGAAAAGAAAAGCCUCCGAGUGGACUGGGAACACUCCCAAAACCAAGAGAGACAUCUCUAAGCCACAGAACAUCUGACCAACUAUGAUCCGGUCGCAAGACCGAUCAACGAACCAAGUUACCCUAGGGAUAACAGCGCAAUCCUCUCCCAGAGUCCAUAUCGACGAGAGGGUUUACGACCUCGAUGUUGGAUCAGGACAUCCUAAUGGUGCAGCCGCUAUUAAGGGUUCGUUUGUUCAACGAUUAAAGUCCUACGUGAUCUGAGUUCAGACCGGAGCAAUCCAGGUCAGUUUCUAUCUGUAAUGCUACUUUUCCUAGUACGAAAGGACCGGAAAAAGGGGGCCCCUACUUAAAGCACGCCCCACUCCUAACUAAUGAAAACAACUUAAUUAGACAAAGGAGGGCCGAACCAACAAGUUCAAGAUUAGAACAU
RNAcentral lists this ribosomal RNA (1684 nucleotides) under Gyrinocheilus pennocki (spotted algae eater). RNAcentral's name for it is "16S rRNA". It matches the Rfam family "Bacterial large subunit ribosomal RNA". Lineage: Eukaryota; Metazoa; Chordata; Actinopteri; Cypriniformes; Gyrinocheilidae. The record is from RNAcentral.